RNAcentral lists this ribosomal RNA (497 nucleotides) under uncultured bacterium. RNAcentral describes it as "partial 16S ribosomal RNA". It matches the Rfam family "Bacterial small subunit ribosomal RNA", at positions 28 to 507 of the family's 1533-position model. The record is from RNAcentral.
GAUGAACGCUGGCGGCGUGCCUAAUACAUGCAAGUCGAGCGAACAGAUGAGGAGCUUGCUCCUCUGACGUUAGCGGCGGACGGGUGAGUAACACGUGGAUAACCUACCUAUAAGACUGGGAUAACUUCGGGAAACCGGAGCUAAUACCGGAUAAUAUAUUGAACCGCAUGGUUCAAUAGUGAAAGACGGUUUUGCUGUCACUUAUAGAUGGAUCCGCGCCGCAUUAGCUAGUUGGUAAGGUAACGGCUUACCAAGGCAACGAUGCGUAGCCGACCUGAGAGGGUGAUCGGCCACACUGGAACUGAGACACGGUCCAGACUCCUACGGGAUGCAGCAGUAGGGAAUCUUCCGCAAUGGGCGAAAGCCUGACGGAGCAACGCCGCGUGAGUGAUGAAGGUCUUCGGAUCGUAAAACUCUGUUAUUAGGGAAGAACAAAUGUGUAAGUAACUAUGCACGUCUUGACGGUACCUAAUCAGAAAGCCACGGCUAACUACGUG